Molecule: ribosomal RNA, 501 nt
Filed under: uncultured bacterium
Lineage: Bacteria
Description: partial 16S ribosomal RNA
Rfam family: Bacterial small subunit ribosomal RNA
Source: RNAcentral
AUUGAACGCUGGCGGCAGGCUUAACACAUGCAAGUCGAGCGGGGAAAGGUAGCUUGCUACCUGACCUAGCGGCGGACGGGUGAGUAAUGCCUAGGAAUCUGCCUAUUAGUGGGGGACAACAUUCCGAAAGGAAUGCUAAUACCGCAUACGACGUACGGGGGAAAGCAGGGGCACUUCGGACCUUGCGCUAAUAGAUGAGCCUAAGUCAGAUUAGCUAGUUGGUGGGGUAAAGGCCUACCAAGGCGACGAUCUGUAGCGGGUCUGAGAGGAUGAUCCGCCACACUGGGACUGAGACACGGCCCAGACUCCUACGGGAGGCAGCAGUGGGGAAUAUUGGACAAUGGGCGAAAGCCUGAUCCAGCCAUGCCGCGUGUGUGAAGAAGGCCUUUUGGUUGUAAAGCACUUUAAGCGAGGAGGAGGCUACCGAGAUUAAUACUCUUGGAUAGUGGACGUUACUCGCAGAAUAAGCACCGGCUAACUCUGUGCCAGCCGCCGCGGUAA